GACAGAGGUCUCGAGCGUUAGGCGGAAUCACUGGGCUUAAAGCGUGUGUAGGCGGACUUCUAAGUACCUUGUGAAAUCCCACGGCUUAACCGUGGAACUGCUGGGUAUACUGGUUGUCUUGGGCCAUCUAGGGGCUACUGGAACAAACGGUGGAGCGGUGAAAUGCGUAGAUAUCAGGAGGAACACCGGUGGCGAAGGCGGGUCUCUGGGCCGUAACUGACGCUGAGGAGCGAAAGCGUGGGGAGCGAACAGG
Molecule: ribosomal RNA, 253 nt
Filed under: uncultured bacterium
Lineage: Bacteria
Description: partial 16S ribosomal RNA
Rfam family: Bacterial small subunit ribosomal RNA
Source: RNAcentral